UCUCAGUGGAAUUCGUGGGAUGUUUUUGGAUACGCCCUGAUAGGAAUAGUGAUAUUUAUUAUAGUUUGUUGCUGCCUUUGCACAGGAGUAAAAUAUAAGAAUCGACAAGAAACAUCCCAGACACCAGCUACUCGUAGAGAUCCUAUGUGGAGCACGGAGUCAAGUGGUGGUAGUCAAACUUACAACCUCAAUAGGAACAUAGCAUACUCAGUCUCUGAUACAGAUAUGAUGCACAGCCACAAUGUUCAAUCUUCCCCAUUUGAUCCUCAUUCUGGAAGUGCACCAUUUUCCGAACCACCGCCAUCGUACGAAUCUAU
Saccostrea cuccullata (small rock oyster) is the source of this 317-nucleotide long non-coding RNA. RefSeq lists it as uncharacterized. Lineage: Eukaryota; Metazoa; Mollusca; Bivalvia; Ostreida; Ostreidae. The transcript is spliced from 3 exons. The record is from RefSeq and is a predicted model, not a curated record.